Molecule: long non-coding RNA, 2233 nt
Filed under: Mus musculus (house mouse)
Lineage: Eukaryota; Metazoa; Chordata; Mammalia; Rodentia; Muridae
Description: long non-coding RNA chr12:24888378-24890611
Source: RNAcentral
GGCAAGCAUGUGAGGCCCCGUGCUGUGGGAGACGCCUUCAAGAGCUACCCUGUAUUGCUGGGACCCCAGUAUCUUACAGGAGCAGCUAAGGGAGAAUGUAUUUUGCCUCACAGAUUUGGUAGGUUUUAGGUCAUCAUGAUGAGGCAGGUUCCUGGUGGUAGGAGCAUGUGACAGACAGAGUAUUCCCAUCAAAGCAGGCCAGCAAGCUGCAGGGUUGAGCCCAGAAACAGGAUUACAACUUCAGAGUCCUGCCUUUUGUGACCUACUUCCGGAAGGCAGGCUCCACCCCCUAAAGGUUCCACAGCCUCCCAAACUAUGACCUCUGAGGAAUAGGUGCUAACCACACGAACCCAGGGGCAUGUUCGGAUUCAAACCAUAGACGGUCCUGAAACCGAGGUGCCUACCCGUGUGGCUAGCCUUCAUUACUGUCCUGCAGUUUCCAGAAGCUAAGAGAGAAUCCCUUUCCUUAGUGGGUGGUAAAAUCCAGCAGCAGACUAAGACACAGAAAAGGUCAAAGUCAAACUCUGACCCCCAGCAGUUGACCUUGAUGGUAGAUUGUCCAGCAGAUGACCUCGAUGGUAGAUUGUCUAGCAGUUGACCUCGAUGGUAGAUUGUCCAGCAGUUGACCUCGAUGGUAGAUUGUCCAGCAGUUGAUCUCGAUGGUAGAUUGUCUAGCAGUUGACUUGAUGGUAGAUUGUCCAGCAGUUGAUCUCGAUGGUAGAUUGUAUGGAUGUUGGGUUUGGAGCUGUACUGUGUGGGAUUGAAUUCCAGCUCUGCCAAAUUUUCACCAACUUUGGGAUUAGACCUUUCAGGGCCUUGGAUGAAUUCAGCGUCUCAGCUGAGGGGGUACUGUGUCAUAGAUGUGCCAUACACAUACUGGGUAUCUGGGUAUGCUUUAAUUAGAAAAAAAAAAAGGAUAUGAACACCAGGAAGCAGCAUUUAAACUUGUAGAUGAAAUGCUUUCAGAGGCCACCUUCAGUUACAGAGUUUGGCUGGGUCUUUUUCUGGGGUCCACUGGUGUCAUGACUGAGAGUCCUGUUCCCUCAACGUCUGUAUUCUUCUGUAAUAGUCACCACCAUGAGCUACAGUUCACUUUGGGGUUCCCCAGAGUUGAACUCUUUUGUAGAAGACUUUGCAUUUCUCUUGUGCUUGAGCACAUAGAUAAAGCCCAUUAAGGAAAUGGUCUGUUACAUUCUGUUCUGCUGACCGGACUUUUAUAGCUCUUGGUUUUGAAUGUACUUUGUCUGGGUUGGGUACUGGUUCCUAGUGUUUACCUAUGAGACUUCUAGGCAGUGUUAGGCAGUGUGCAGCCUCUCCUGCUCAAGGCCCCAAGUGCUUGCUUGGUGGGGUCAGGUGCCUGCCGUGCAGUGGAGUGCUCUCAGCCCAGCUGCUUGCUCUCCCUGGGGUUCCCCAUAGAGCACAGCUGGCAAGGAGGGGUGGUGCUGAGGGGGAGAGGCAAUUUUAGCUGAUAGGGCCAAUAUCGCAAGGUUGGGUAGUCCUAGGGUCCAUUGCUAUUGAGACACUUAAGUGUGGGUUCCUAGAUAAAGAAUGUUAUCUGAAUUACGCUAACCGUGCUCACACUGAGUGGUGAUCCUCCAGCAGCCAUCUGGUAGGCAGAAGCCUCCAGCCAUUUGAAAAUGUGUCCUCGUGAAGCUAAUUAGCAGUGGUUAGUGGCUCAGCAGUAACUCUGUGGGGAAAAUAUUAACUUCUCUGAGGGUAAUCCUGGGAUCCUGUGAGAGACAAUAACAUGUGGCGGGAAGGAAAGUGGACCUCAGUUCUGUUUUCUUUAGCAUUCUCUGUGGACCAUAUUCAAGAGCCUUUUGCUGUCCUACGGAAAGUGCAGGCUCUUUGGGGAUAGCUGGCGCUGACUAAAUGCUAUGUUUCAGUAGGAACUACAGGCACCUCUCCAGUGGGUUUUCUUUUUCUUUUUUAUACUUCCCUAUUCAUAGGUCAUGUUGCCACAGUUGCUAUAUAUCAGGCAUUGUGCCAAGCUCAGCCACUAUCACCCACUAGUGACACCCUUCAUGUGGGUGUGGCUUACCCAUUCCACCAAGGUAACUUUCUAGUCUUGAAAAUAAUAAUCAUAUAUUACUUACAAAUGAGGUAGUUCUAAUAACUAAAGUGUGACUACUGCUUGUUAAUGAAGUAUAAAGAUUCAUCUUUGGGCUUUGAGUAUAUCCAGAAACUAAUAGUACCUUUGUCCCAAGAGUCUCUAAUUCAUGACUGAAUAUUG